RNAcentral lists this ribosomal RNA (448 nucleotides) under uncultured bacterium. Its description in RNAcentral is "partial 16S ribosomal RNA". It matches the Rfam family "Bacterial small subunit ribosomal RNA", at positions 330 to 793 of the family's 1533-position model. The record is from RNAcentral.
ACCAGACUCCUACGGGAGGCAGCAGUGGGGGAUAUUGCACAAUGGGGGGAACCCUGAUGCAGCGACGCCGCGUGGGUGAAGAAGCGCCUCGGCGCGUAAAGCCCUGUCAGCAGGGAAGAAAAUGACGGUACCUGAAGAAGAAGCCCCGGCUAACUACGUGCCAGCAGCCGCGGUAAUACGUAGGGGGCAAGCGUUAUCCGGAUUUACUGGGUGUAAAGGGGGCGCAGACGGCGAUGCAAGCCAGGAGUGAAAGCCCGGGGCCCAACCCCGGGACUGCUCUUGGAACUGCGUGGCUGGAGUGCAGGAGGGGCAGGCGGAAUUCCUGGUGUAGCGGUGAAAUGCGUAGAUAUCAGGAGGAACACCGGUGGCGAAGGCGGCCUGCUGGACGGCGACUGACGUUGAGGCCCGAAAGCGUGGGGAGCAAACAGGAUUAGAUACCCCAGUAAAG